RNAcentral lists this ribosomal RNA (242 nucleotides) under uncultured bacterium. RNAcentral's name for it is "partial 16S ribosomal RNA". It matches the Rfam family "Bacterial small subunit ribosomal RNA", at positions 524 to 765 of the family's 1533-position model. The record is from RNAcentral.
UACGGAGGGUGCUAGCGUUAAUCGGAAUAACGGGGCGUAAAGGGCACGCAGGCGGGCUUUUAAGUGAGAUGUGAAAUCCCCGGGCUUAGCCUGGGAAUAGCAUUUCAGACUGGGAGUCUAGAGUACUUUAGGGAGGGGUAGAAUUCCACGUGUAGCGGUGAAAUGCGUAGAGAUGUGGAGGAAUACCGAAGGCGAAGGCAGCCCCUUGGGAAUGUACUGACGCUCAUGUGCGAAUCCGUGGG